ACUUCACACAACUGGUAUACGACGAUGUUACAUAUUUACACUGGCAAAUACAUACAUUCAAGUAAGUAAAUUAUUAAAUAAAAAAAAAAUCUUACUUGACUCGUAAAUUAUAAAUACAUUAUAUUUUUUAGGUUGUCUCUGUCUGUGCGUGUGUGUGUGCGUGUGUGUGAACGUGUGUCUGUGUUUGAGUGCGUGUCCCUUUAUGCCUUACCAAGAAUCCUAAAUGAGGCCUCAGUUGAGCCCGGUCACGCCUUCAGGACCUUGGACAGCUCCACUGGCUUUCAUCCGCAUGACUAACAUUCAGCACCAAGGACAGCUUCCGCACGGAGGUGUGUAGUUGAAUAACAACCACGUCAUCGCCACUGGGGAUUAUACCAGUAGAAUAGGCUUGAUAUGUGAUGCCAGCAGCCCACUCGCUGUGGACAGGCAGCCGCAGAGGACGUGAACUCCUUCAGACCUGUGGGCACUCAGAUAUGUCAACCCGAAGGGCGGCACGAGCCACCAAAUCAAUCACCUGGAAAACACGCGGGCCAACUCACACCCCUGUGAUGUUCCCCGGCUUCAUCGAGCAGAGCUGUGACGCCGUCGACAUCAUCCGUCCGCUGACAGACGUAUGAACAUCUGCCAGAGCAGGUCUGCUCUCCAAACAUUUCUGUGGUAGUUUCCACUUCGGCAAAUCUCUCCAGGCCCACAUCUGGCCAAAAUGACACACACACACACACAGAUUAAGACAUGACAAAACAAUACCAGCCAAUCUUCUAUUACUUAUUAAAAAGUAAUACAUAUAUAUCCUGUCGUGUUCAAAAUAUCUAUGAAGAUAUUCUUGUGAGUCAGCAUGUUUGGUAUCACGGAAAUGAGAAAUGUCAAGCCGUGUGAUGCAUCUCAGGAAAACACACCGCUACAAAAUAAAAUGUCUCAUUUAUGUUCAGCUUUUUUUGUGGAUACAUCGCAACUGUAAACUUUCACUGCCUUGUUAGAAUGGAGCUCUUCUAUGUAUAUUGAUCAAUGUUUUUUUCUUUGAUGUCUAUGUAAAGGGUUUUUUCUUAUGACGUGGCUAAAUGGAAAUACUAGUGUUUUUUCUUUGACGUGAAAAUCCCUGUAAAGAGUAAAUAUGCAAACAGUAAACAUGUCAAAAACAUGAAAAUCUGUGUGUAUCUUUAUAAAUUGAAUUAAAUGUGGAAGUAUUUUUUUUUUUCUUACAGCAGAAAAGAUCUGCCUCAAGUCUCACAUCUA
This is a long non-coding RNA of Pungitius pungitius (ninespine stickleback), 1233 nucleotides long. RefSeq lists it as uncharacterized. The record is from RefSeq and is a predicted model, not a curated record. The transcript has 3 exons. Lineage: Eukaryota; Metazoa; Chordata; Actinopteri; Perciformes; Gasterosteidae.